Molecule: long non-coding RNA, 234 nt
Filed under: Amborella trichopoda
Lineage: Eukaryota; Viridiplantae; Streptophyta; Magnoliopsida; Amborellales; Amborellaceae
Description: long non-coding RNA (ATRI_LNC003143)
Source: RNAcentral
CAUCUUUGUGAGGAGAGUUAAAACAAAAAGUUAUGAAUCAAUUCCAUUAGCCGUUGGUACUCAUAAGUGAACUUCAAGAGUAGUUUGCAUUGCUAUACAACAUGGUGUUGAAUGGGCACAAGGAGGAGAGACACAUAGUGGCGCGUGUGCACCAGGAUAGAAGAUAGGAGAGAGAGAGAGAGAGUUAGGGAUUGUGUAAAAAAUACCAAUUACUUUGUAUAUAAGUGGUCACAG